Molecule: ribosomal RNA, 361 nt
Filed under: uncultured bacterium
Lineage: Bacteria
Description: partial 16S ribosomal RNA
Rfam family: Bacterial small subunit ribosomal RNA
Source: RNAcentral
UCUACGGGCGGCAGCAGUGAGGAAUAUUGGUCAAUGGACGCAAGUCUGAACCAGCCAUGCCGCGUGCAGGAGGACGGCACUGUGAAUUGUAAACUGCUUUUGUACGAGGAUAAACGCAGAUACGCGUAUCUGUCUGACAGUAUCUGACGAAUAAGGAUCGGCUAACUCCGUGCCAACAGCCGCGGUAAUACGGAGGAUUCCAGCGUUAUCCGGAUUUAUUGGGUUUAAAGGGUGCGUAGGCGGUCGGAUAAGUUAGAGGUGAAAUCCCGAGGCUCAACGUCGGCAUUGCCUCUGAUACUGGUAGGCUAGAGAGUAGGUGCGGUAGGCGGAAUGUAUGGUGUAGCGGUGAAAUGCUUAGAGA